RNAcentral lists this ribosomal RNA (253 nucleotides) under uncultured bacterium. RNAcentral describes it as "partial 16S ribosomal RNA". It matches the Rfam family "Bacterial small subunit ribosomal RNA", at positions 524 to 776 of the family's 1533-position model. The record is from RNAcentral.
UACGUAGGGUGCAAGCGUUGUCCGGAAUUAUUGGGCGUAAAGAGCUCGUAGGCGGUCUGUCGCGUCGGCUGUGAAAACCCGGAGCUCAACUCCGGGCCUGCAGUCGAUACGGGCAGACUGGAGUUCGGCAGGGGAGACUGGAAUUCCUGGUGUAGCGGUGAAAUGCGUAGAUAUCAGGAGGAACACCGGUGGCGAAGGCGGGUCUCUGGGCCGAUACUGACGCUGAGGAGCGAAAGCGUGGGGAGCGAACAGG